UUUUAAUUGUGCAGUUUCUUUAUGAGCUGGGUUGGUGAAUGAGGACUGGAAAAUUGCCUUGCUGCUCUAAUACAUCACAGGAUUGUUAUGUAAAUGAAAUGCUUGCAGUAAGAAAGUACAAUACAAAGGAAGUGAACUCUUCCUGACUGCUGGAGGUUAUUUUGAGGUGAUUUUUCCUGUGUUCGAACGGUCACCAGCCAUUGCUACUCUGUACCUGUAACAGAAGGACAUGUCAGCUGCUCAGAAUUGCCAGAUAACCUUUCAGAAAGUAUAAGGAAAGAUGAAGAAAAAUAAUGAUAUAUGUUUAAAAUAUAGCCACAAUAUUGCUGUUAAUGUGGGUGACCAAAUGCCUGAAACCAAAAUGUAUGAUGCCUUUUCUUCCUAGUGAGGAUCUAAAGCU
Molecule: long non-coding RNA, 400 nt
Filed under: Anser brachyrhynchus (Pink-footed goose)
Lineage: Eukaryota; Metazoa; Chordata; Aves; Anseriformes; Anatidae
Description: lncRNA (ENSABRG00000022427.1)
Source: RNAcentral